AUUGAACGCUGGCGGCAUGCUUUACACAUGCAAGUCGAACGGUAACAGGGUGCUUGCACCGCUGACGAGUGGCGAACGGGUGAGUAAUGCGUCGGAACGUGCCGAGUAGUGGGGGAUAACGCAGCGAAAGUUGUGCUAAUACCGCAUACGUACUGAGGUAGAAAGUGGGGGACCUUCGGGCCUCACGCUAUUCGAGCGGCCGACGUCUGAUUAGCUAGUAGGUGAGGUAAAGGCUCACCUAGGCGACGAUCAGUAGCGGGUCUGAGAGGAUGAUCCGCCACACUGGGAAUGAGACCCGGCCCAGACUCCUACGGGAGGCAGCAGUGGUGAAUUUUGGACAAUGGGCGAAAGCCUGGUCCAGCCAUGCCGCGUGUCUGAAGAAGGCCUUCGGGUUGUAAAGGACUUUUGUCGGGGAGGAAAUCCCCAGCGUUAAUACCGCUGGGGGAUGACAGUACCUGAAGAAUAAGCACCGGCUAACUACGUGCCAGCAGCCGCCGUAA
RNAcentral lists this ribosomal RNA (500 nucleotides) under uncultured bacterium. RNAcentral describes it as "partial 16S ribosomal RNA". It matches the Rfam family "Bacterial small subunit ribosomal RNA", at positions 30 to 523 of the family's 1533-position model. The record is from RNAcentral.